CUCAGAACGAACGCUGGCGGCAAGCCUAACACAUGCAAGUCGAACGGACAAUUAUUUAUACCCUCUGGCUAUAGGAAAUUGUUAGUGGCAGACGGGUGAGUAAUGCGUAGGAAUCUACCUCGUAGUAAGGAAUAUCCAUUAGAAAUGGUGGGUAAUACUGUAUAAUCCCCGAGGGGGAAACAUUGAUCGCUAUUAGAUGAGCCUACGUUAGAAUAGCUAGUUGGUGAGGUAAUGGCUUACCAAGGCUAUGUUCUAUAGCUGGACUGAGAGCACGAUCAGCCACAGUAGAACUGAGAUACGGUCCAGACUCCUACGGGUGGAAGCAGUGGGGAAUAUUGGACAAUGGGCGAAAGUCUGAUCCAGCUAUUCCGGGUGAGUGAAGAAGGCCUUCGGGUUGUAAAACUUUUUCAAUAGGGAAGAUAAUGAUGGUACCUAUAGAAGAAGUCCCGGCAAACUCUUUGCCAGCAGCCGCGGUA
RNAcentral lists this ribosomal RNA (476 nucleotides) under Ehrlichia canis. RNAcentral's name for it is "bacterial SSU rRNA". It matches the Rfam family "Bacterial small subunit ribosomal RNA", at positions 23 to 522 of the family's 1533-position model. The record is from RNAcentral. Lineage: Bacteria; Pseudomonadati; Pseudomonadota; Alphaproteobacteria; Rickettsiales; Anaplasmataceae.